This 769-nucleotide long non-coding RNA is filed under the name Zonotrichia albicollis (white-throated sparrow). RNAcentral describes it as "lncRNA (ENSZALG00000010665.1)". The stretch from base 573 to 769 matches the Rfam family "Rhabdomyosarcoma 2 associated transcript conserved region 6". Lineage: Eukaryota; Metazoa; Chordata; Aves; Passeriformes; Passerellidae. The record is from RNAcentral.
UAUCUGUCUCAGGAACAAUAGCUACCUGUAUUCUGCACGGGCUGCUGGGCAGGCACUAGCAGUCUGGAGAAGGUCUGCCUCCGUUAGAGGCUUUUUAGUGGGAAUCCCUAAUGACAGCCCUGCUUCUCAUUGGGAGGGGGGAGAGAAAUCUUGUCUACUCUGUUGAUGAGGGACAGAGCUUUGAUCAUUUUCAUUCAGCCUUGACUUGGCCUGAGGUUUAGGUUCCCAGUCCUGAAGUCAGCAGGCUCUCUUUUCUCACACGCACACACACCCGCACACCCACACCCAGCCCUGUGCUGGUCUGUGCAGGCAGAUUAGUGUCACGGCUCUAACUGAGGCACAGAGCAAUAAACAUAGCAGAACCAAUCUCCAUGGUGGCAAGAGGGGGCACUGGAGGUGACAACAAUGGAGAAGGAUCUUUCUUCUGACAAGUUUUAGAUGCCGGGGUCUUGCUGAGCCCUUGCCAAUGCUCGGAGGCUGUGCCGAGCAGGAGGAUUGCAGUGAACCUCUUCCCAUGUCCUGGGGGAGCCAAAUGCCAAGUGUGGCAAAACCCUCCAGGGAGGUAACACAGUGGAUGAUUGAUUGUACCCGCCAGCUGGCUAAUAUCAUAAUUAACAAAGUUGCUACCAUGUCUGAGAAGUUUAAUCGAAAAAAUUGCCGGCAGUAUGAUGCCAUUGUCACAGAGAUCACAAGCACAGCAGUGUUGACUUUUGCACUGGUGGAGCCGCAGGACUAUGUAGAUGUGCUGAAAAGUCGUUCGCUGGGAUAA